AUUGAACGCUGGCGGUAGGCUUAACACAUGCAAGUCGUGCGAGAAAGUAUCUUCGGAUAUGAGUAGAGCGGCGGACGGGUGAGUAACGCGUAGGAAUCUACCUAGUAGAAGGGGAUAGCCCGAGGAAACUCGGAUUAAUACCGUAUACCUCUUUAGGGAGAAAGAGGGCCUCUCUUGAUGCUCUCGCUAUUAGAUGAGCCUGCGUAAGAUUAGCUUGUUGGUGAGGUAAUGGCUCACCAAGGCUACGAUCUUUAGCUGGUCUGAGAGGACGAUCAGCCACAUUGGGACUGAGACACGGCCCAGACUCCUACGGGAGGCAGCAGUGGGGAAUAUUGGACAAUGGGCGCAAGCCUGAUCCAGCCAUACCGCGUGUGUGAAGAAGGCCCUAGGGUUGUAAAGCACUUUAAGCAGGGAGAAAAAGUUAUAAGUUAAUACCUUAUGACCUUGAUGUUACCUGCAGAAUAAGCACCGGCUAA
RNAcentral lists this ribosomal RNA (476 nucleotides) under uncultured bacterium. RNAcentral's name for it is "bacterial SSU rRNA". It matches the Rfam family "Bacterial small subunit ribosomal RNA", at positions 30 to 500 of the family's 1533-position model. The record is from RNAcentral.